GGGUUGUGAGGUUAAGCGACUAAGCGUACACGGUGGAUGCCCUGGCAGUCAGAGGCGAUGAAGGACGUGCUAAUCUGCGAUAAGCGUCGGUAAGGUGAUAUGAACCGUUAUAACCGGCGAUUUCCGAAUGGGGAAACCCAGUGUGUUUCGACACACUAUCAUUAACUGAAUCCAUAGGUUAAUGAGGCGAACCGGGGGAACUGAAACAUCGAGUACGAAACCAGGAAUUCCCAGUAGCGGCGAGCGAACGGGGAGCAGCCCAGAGCCUGAAUCAGUGUGUGUGUUAGUGGAAGCGUCUGGAAAGGCGCGCGAUACAGGGUGACAGCCCCGUACACAAAAAUGCACAUGCUGUGAGCUCGAUGAGUAGGGCGGGACACGUGGUAUCCUGUCUGAAUAUGGGGGGACCAUCCUCCAAGGCUAAAUACUCCUGACUGACCGAUAGUGAACCAGUACCGUGAGGGAAAGGCGAAAAGAACCCCGGCGAGGGGAGUGAAAAAGAACCUGAAACCGUGUACGUACAAGCAGUGGGAGCACGCUUAGGCGUGUGACUGCGUACCUUUUGUAUAAUGGGUCAGCGACUUAUAUUCUGUAGCAAGGUUAACCGAAUAGGGGAGCCGAAGGGAAACCGAGUCUUAACUGGGCGUUAAGUUGCAGGGUAUAGACCCGAAACCCGGUGAUCUAGCCAUGGGCAGGUUGAAGGUUGGGUAACACUAACUGGAGGACCGAACCGACUAAUGUUGAAAAAUUAGCGGAUGACUUGUGGCUGGGGGUGAAAGGCCAAUCAAACCGGGAGAUAGCUGGUUCUCCCCGAAAGCUAUUUAGGUAGCGCCUCGUGAAUUCAUCUCCGGGGGUAGAGCACUGUUUCGGCGGCAAGGGGUCAUCCCAUUUACCAACCCGAUGGAAGCUGCAGAUACCGGAGAUAUUAUCACGGGAGACCUUACCCACGGCAGGUGCUAACGUCCGUCGUGAAAUGGCAGACCGCCAGCUGAGGUCCCAAAGUGAUGGUUAAGUGGGAAACGAUGUGGGAAGGCCCAGACAGCCAGGAUGUUGGCUUAGAAGCAGCCAUCAUUUAAAGAAAGCGUAAUAGCUCACUGGUCGAGUCGGCCUGCGCGGAAGAUGUAACGGGGCUAAACCAUGCACCGAAGCUGCGGCAGCGACGCUUAUGCGUUGUUGGGUAGGGGAGCGUUCUGUAAGCCUGUGAAGGUGUGCUGUGAGGCAUGCUGGAGGUAUCAGAAGUGCGAAUGCUGACAUAAGUAACGAUAAAGCGGGUGAAAAGCCCGCUCGCCGGAAGACCAAGGGUUCCUGUCCAACGUUAAUCGGGGCAGGGUGAGUCGACCCCUAAGGCGAGGCCGAAAGGCGUAGUCGAUGGGAAACAGGUUAAUAUUCCUGUACUUGGUGUUACUGCGAAGGGGGGACGGAGAAGGCUAUGUUGGCCGGGCGACGGUUGUCCCGGUUUAAGCGUGUAGGCUGGUUUUCCAGGCAAAUCCGGAAAAUCAAGGCUGAGGCGUGAUGACGAGGCACUACGGUGCUGAAGCAACAAAUGCCCUGCUUCCAGGAAAAGCCUCUAAGCAUCAGGUAACAUCAAAUCGUACCCCAAACCGACACAGGUGGUCAGGUAGAGAAUACCAAGGCGCUUGAGAGAACUCGGGUGAAGGAACUAGGCAAAAUGGUGCCGUAACUUCGGGAGAAGGCACGCUGAUAUGUAGGUGAAGUCCCUCGCGGAUGGAGCUGAAAUCAGUCGAAGAUACCAGCUGGCUGCAACUGUUUAUUAAAAACACAGCACUGUGCAAACACGAAAGUGGACGUAUACGGUGUGACGCCUGCACGGUGCCGGAAGGUUAAUUGAUGGGGUUAGCCGCAAGGCGAAGCUCUUGAUCGAAGCCGUGAAGCGGCGGCCCGUAGUAGCCAUAACAGUCCCUGGGUAGCGAAAUUCCUUGUCGGGUAAGUUCCGACCUGCACGAAUGGCGUGAUGAUGGCGAGGCUGUCUCCACCCGAGACUCAGUGAAAUUGAACUCGCUGUGAAGAUGCAGUGUACCCGCGGCAAGACGGAAAGACCCCGUGAACCUUUACUAUAGCUUGACGCAGACAUUGAGCCUUGAUGGCUGGCAGGAUGGGUGGGAGGCUUUGAAGUGUGGACGCCAGUCUGCAUGGAGCCGACCUUGGCCACCACCCUUUGUGUUUGAUGUUCUAACGUUGACCCGUAAUCCGGGUUGCGGACAGUGUCUGGUGGGUAGUUUGACUGGGGCGGUCUCCUCCUAAAGAGUAACGGAGGAGCACGAAGGUUGGCUAAUCCUGGUCGGACAUCAGGAGGUUAGUGCAAUGGCAUAAGCCAGCUUGACUGCGAGCGUGACGGCGCGAGCAGGUGCGAAAGCAGGUCAUAGUGAUCCGGUGGUUCUGAAUGGAAGGGCCAUCGCUCAACGGAUAAAAGGUACUCCGGGGAUAACAGGCUGAUACCGCCCAAGAGUUCAUAUCGACGGCGGUGUUUGGCACCUCGAUGUCGGCUCAUCACAUCCUGGGGCUGAAGUAGGUCCCAAGGGUAUGGCUGUUCGCCAUUUAAAGUGGUACGCGAGCUGGGUUUAGAACGUCGUGAGACAGUUCGGUCCCUAUCUGCCGUGGGCGCUGGAGAACUGAGGGGGGCUGCUCCUAGUACGAGAGGACCGGAGUGGACGCAUCACUGGUGUUCGGGUUGUCAUGCCAAUGGCACUGCCCGGUAGCUAAAUGCGGAAGAGAUAAGUGCUGAAAGCAUCUAAGCACGAAACUUGCCCCGAGAUGAGUUCUCCCUGACUCCUUGAGAGUCCUGAAGGAACGUUGAAGACGACGACGUUGAUAGGCCGGGUGUGUAAGCGCAGCGAUGCGUUGAGCUAACCGGUACUAAUGAACCGUGAGGCUUAACCUUACAACGCCGAAGCUGUU
This 2913-nucleotide ribosomal RNA is filed under the name Escherichia coli. RNAcentral describes it as "23S ribosomal RNA". It matches the Rfam family "Bacterial large subunit ribosomal RNA". The record is from RNAcentral. Lineage: Bacteria; Pseudomonadati; Pseudomonadota; Gammaproteobacteria; Enterobacterales; Enterobacteriaceae.